CUAGGACCCGCCUAGGGAGGUCACUCAGAAGGGCUGUGUCCUGGUAGGAGACCCGCCCAGCCUGGGCCUCUCAGCGCUCCAGCCACACUUGGUACCACUAGUCCCAGGGAGGGCCCUGCGGGCGUGGUUGCCCUGAUGGGAGGGAGACACGUGAGUCCACAGGACCCUGGGGGAUCCCACUUCUGUUCUGGGGAGGUGGGAAAGGUCAGAGGUCCUGGUGCUGAUGUGAUCCCGAUGGGCCCCAAAGAAACUUAUUGAGGAAGGGCUCUUACUGGACAAGGGCAGACCAGAGUGCACGAGGCUCUUUCCUCUCAUGAUCAUGAGAAAAGGGUAAAGAAAGAGAACCAAGGGGGCCUUAAUUUUUUACCAAUACUCUUAGACAACUUCAUAGGGGGAACCUAAAGACAGUGCUGUGUAAUUGCUGUCAUCUGACUGCUAAUGACAUUGGGCGAUGUGUCCUCGCGUCCCUGCCAUCACAGGGGGCCUGUACAGCACUGGGGACCACCCUGGAGGUGGCAGGAGGCCGAGGUUGCCCAUGGCCACCAGGGGGCGUUCCAGCACCACUGAAGGAGUUCCCUGCUGUUGGCUGUCCUGCAGACUGAACGGUCAGGGCUCUGCUAAAGAGCAGACCAAGCCCACUGAUAGAAGAGACCCUGGGAAAUAAGUGGGAAGAUUCUAGGGUGCCCUCUAUCUGCUUGCCUGCUUCCCUGUGGUUGGCCUCCCAGUGCUAGGAUUUAUUCAGUGCAUCUUUGACUCAUUCCCAUCCAGAAUCCUUCCAUGGUCUCUCCAGGCCGGGAUGGAUCUGGUGCAAUCCAGCCCCCUUUUCUCCUCCCCCACUGGGCAGGUGAGGCUCAGCGGUGCCCUAAAAUCACCUGGGGAGCAACAGGAGGAACACUUGCACCUGCAUCUCGUCCAAUCUUCCUAAAGAGAUGAGUCUGUGCUGGGAUUUUAAACCGUCCCAGGUGAGCUUAGAAUUUAGCAAAGGUUGAGAAGCCAUGUGAGGACAGGGGCUGCCUCUGUAGGGUCCCCGGUGCUGGUACAAUGCCUGGCACAGGCAUGUGCCAACCAAGGGACAGAAGCUGUUGUUUUGCCCACAGUCCUAAAGGAACUUGUUAUGGUUUGGAUGUGAUGUGUCCCCAAAAGCUCACAUGUGAGACAAUGCAAGAGGUCUGCAGGAGGAAUCACUGGGGUAUAGCCUUAAUCUAAUCAGUGGAUCAGUCCCUGGUGGGGGACUGAGUGGUAACUGGAGGCAGGUGGGUGUGGCUGGAGGGAGUGGUUCACUGGGGACGUGGCUUUGGGUAUAUAUUUUCUAUCUGGAGAGUGCAGUCUCUCUCUCUGCUUUCUGAUCACCAUGUGAGCUACUUCCCUGUGCCACCCUCUUCCUCUGUGUUCACCCUCACCUUGAGCCCCGAGGAAUGGAGCUGGCCUCUGUGGACUGAGACCUCUGAAACAUGAGCCCUAAAAUAAACCUUUCCUCCUCCACAGUUGCUCUGGUUGGGUCUUUCAGUCGCAGCAGGGAAAAGCCUGACUCAAACAGAACAGCUGGCUUUCCUGAGAACAGCCCCCUAGAGCCGGCAGGCGCCAUGGCAGCCUUGCCC
This 1598-nucleotide long non-coding RNA is filed under the name Marmota monax (woodchuck). The record is from RNAcentral. Lineage: Eukaryota; Metazoa; Chordata; Mammalia; Rodentia; Sciuridae.